GCAGGCAUAGUUCAUCGGUAGAAUAGCGGCUUCCCAAGCCGCGGAGGCGGGUUCGAUUCCCGUUGCCUGCUCCA
This 74-nucleotide transfer RNA is filed under the name Clostridiales bacterium. RNAcentral describes it as "tRNA-Gly". It matches the Rfam family "tRNA". From Rfam's summary of the family: Transfer RNA (tRNA) molecules are approximately 80 nucleotides in length. The record is from RNAcentral. RNAcentral also lists the same sequence under 2 other names. Lineage: Bacteria; Bacillati; Bacillota; Clostridia; Eubacteriales.